CCGACCCCGAGGACGUCUUUCCAGUCGCCCUGCAGAUGAACUCGCAUCCGGAUACGACGUCACCCAGUGAAUCAGUCCACCCUGCGGGACCUGACUCCAGCUCGGGCGGGAGGGGCGAAGGGCCGGAGCCCCAGCCGUAAGCGGUAAGCCCAAUCCGCCCUCGCGGCUCUGGAGCCGGUCGCGAGGCGGAGCGCGCUCAGCAGCACGCGCGCGGCAAAGUGGCCGCCGCCUGCCGCCAGGAGUGCACCAGCGGCCGCUUCCGCUCCCGGGCCGUGUUGCCCAGCACGGGAGGCAGCCCCGGGCCGGCCCAGCGGUGCAGCGCGGCCGGUCACGAGCCGCCACCGGCGCUUUCAGCCCCCGGUGACGCCAGGCGCCCUGCUCGCAUCUCGCGCUCCGUGGGCUGCAGCUCAGGUCCCAGGAGCACCGUGGCGCCUCCCACCAGUGCGAUCUCUCUGGGGCAGGCUCGCCGGAAGUGAAACAGGCCGAGCAGCGCCGGCAGGUGCCCCACCUCAAGUGAGAUGGCCGUGGCUGAAGCUGCUGAAGGUGGUCUGAGCAGUUGCGGCCACCGUGGAAGAGCUGCGGGAGCUCCAUCUCCCUUCCCUUCUCAGACAUUUUCAAAUGUGCCUGUCUUGCGGUUGCCAUUUAUAGGGUGGUCCUGUUUGAAUGUCUCUGUGACAAAGAUGGAGAUACAAUGACGGAUCUCCUUUUGAGAAAGGACCUGUGGCCAGCUAUGGGCCUACAGUCAACAGUCAGCCUCCAGCAUCAGCUCCUUCAGGACCUGCCCGAAAUGCAAAGAGCCAUCUUGCUCAAGGUCAUACCUUCCUGUGGCAGCCCAUAUGUGGAACAAAGUCAAAGUAAAAAGGUAGGGCCAUUUCAGAUGAUACAAAGUCGAAAUUUUGGUCCAGAACCCCUGCUGAGGUUGGUGGAGACUUUGCCAGGUUGGCAUCAUUCACCUUCUUCUCACCAAUCCUCCUUCCUUCCUCUUUCUGUUAUGCGCAUCCAUUUCUAGUAAAUAUCUUA
Mirounga angustirostris (Northern elephant seal) is the source of this 1020-nucleotide long non-coding RNA. RefSeq lists it as uncharacterized. The record is from RefSeq and is a predicted model, not a curated record. The transcript has 3 exons. Lineage: Eukaryota; Metazoa; Chordata; Mammalia; Carnivora; Phocidae.